This is a long non-coding RNA of Triticum dicoccoides, 2548 nucleotides long. RefSeq lists it as uncharacterized. The transcript has 6 exons. NCBI's taxonomy places the organism in Eukaryota, Viridiplantae, Streptophyta, Magnoliopsida, Poales, Poaceae. The record is from RefSeq and is a predicted model, not a curated record.
CCUCCUCUCUCCCUCCCUCCCGCGCGCCUCCUCUCCUCCCACCCACAUCGCCGCCGCCGCCACCCCCUCCUCGAACCGCGAUGAGCAGCAGCGGAGGGAGGACGAGGAGCACGACUGCGGCGGCAGCGGGGAGGAGCAGCAGCAGGGCAAGGCGGCGCAACAGCAGCCCCGACUAACUGCCGCCCCGGAAUUUCAUGUCCGCCGCGCGUGCUGAGUGCCGACGCCCCCCCGCCGAACCCUUCCCGAAACCAAGCACCCGCCGCGCCGGAAAAGCGGCUCCCCUACCCUCAUCCGGCGGCGGAGGUGCAGUGCGCCGUCUGAGGCUCUCCGGCCGCCGGCUGCGGGGGCGCGGACAUGGCGGGGGCUGCGCGGGGCCGGCGGUGCCGGGGCGCGAUGCUGCUGCUACUCGUCGCGUUCGUGCUCGCGCCCCUCGUGCUAUACGGCCACUUCCCCGUCUCGCCCCUCCCAGACUCCAUCGUGGCCAAAGGCGCGUUCGAUCGGGGGGCGGGUCCGGCUCCAAUCUGGUGUGGCCGCAUAUGGCCGCGUCCGAGGUUUCUCUCGCCAAAGGGGAGCCCGCUUUUCCUCCCCCCUUUCGUUUUGCUUGCCUAAUCUCGGGAAGGCAUGAGUUUCACUGGCUGUAGAUUAGAUCGUGAAAAUGGUAGAGAUAGAUUGAGUCUGUUUUCACCUCAGUACGAACAAGUAAACCAACGUCAUGCGCAUUUUUUGGUGAAGCAGUCGGCAGUUGAGUCAUCCUUCGGCCACCGCAUCUGAUUUUUUGUUGGAACUCUGUGUGAAUUGCUUUUGUAGAUUUGACGAUUGAGAGGCUAGGGGAGCACAAGAACCGGGUGCUCUCGGCGACUGACAACUGGCAAGCAGUUGAGGUAGCCAGGAGCCAUCCAUCAGAAAAGAAAAUUGAUACGUGGGAGGACCCUGGGUGGCGGGAUGCCCAUCAGGUGGUUGCUGUGGGAAAUGACAGUGCUCAGUCGACACAGGAUGACAUGAUAAAGGAAGUUGUUAGCACCGACAGACGAGCAGAUGGCUUUCGUGAUCCCGGCGAUAGCAAGGUAGCUGAAGAGCAGGAUGGACAAGGGAUGGAUGAAAAAGAGUUGCAGGAUGCAACUGAGCUAGAGCACAAAGAUGGAUCUGGUGCAUCAGAGAAUAACAUUGCUGGAGCUCAUACUACUGCAAACCUGACAUCGUCUUUGGAAAAGGAAAGCGCUGCUGAUACAUUAUCUGAUCAUGAUAGUAUCAAUGCUGAUCUCGCCACAUCAGCAAGUGGCACUGGUCAUUCCGCAACUUCCCCAGAUGCUACAAUCCGCAUUAUCAAGGACCAAUUGAUAAGAGCAAAGACAUAAUCGUGGCAUUCUAGCUUCUAGAGGAAAUCAUGGUACCGCCAAGGAGUUACGUGCACGAACGAAAGAUAUCCAGCGAGCACUGGGUGAUGCAACCGAUGAUGGGAUGCUUCCUCAGAAGUACUUUCUCUUUCACUAUACUACAGGAGCAUAUGGUGUCGUGUCUCUCAAGCACAGUGCCCGGCUCCGGUUCGUCACAGAAGCCCACGGAAAGCAGCAAAGUUGAGCAUGCGGUGUCGCGCUUGUGAUGCACAGUGCUUGGCUCCGGUACAUCACAGAGGCCGGCAGCAAGGAACACAGCUUCCUGCCCUUGCCUCUGUAAAUCAUCAAGGAGGAAAAAUGUGCAAGAUGCUUGAAGUUUCCCCUUGAAACGAAGGUCUUGGGCCUUUGUUUGUACAUAUAUUCCCUUGAUUUGUACUGACUCUCUAAUUAAUUAUUCAGAGAGCUAUGGCCAUACAAGGAAAUCAAAAGUUUCAGUUGCAUGUAGCAAGGAAGGUCAAUUUGACACGGCGGUGCUGCCAUUUGCCCCUCCCUUCUCCCUCGAAAAUGUGGUUGACGCUCCCCAGAUCUUCAGGUUGCAUGACAAGAUUUUUUCCUGUGGAACAUAUUGUGUAUCUUCCAUCGGUCAUGAGUAAAUUCAAAUCAAAAUCACAUAUGGAUGUGUCCGAGGACAAGUUUGUCUGAUAAAAGGCAAGGAUGAAAGAGCGAGUAUAACCAUCAACUGGUCACAAUUUGCCGAAGCAGCCAAUAUUAAAGGUCAUAUUUGUGUCUUCGUCUUUGAGGAGGCUCAAAAGCACCAACACUCUGUCCAUAACCUUUUCUAAGGAACACCCCCUUGGGUAUGCAGCAGCGAUUUCCUAUGUUGAAUAUUGUUCAUUACAACAAUGAAAUCAACCUGCAGACUCAGCUUGCAAAGGUGGAGAUGGAGAGAAAGUUGUUGAUGCUCAAGCCAUGCGAUUAUGUAUGGAGCAAGAUGAACCUACCCACUUUUGUAUGGUUUAUUCUUAGGUUGUGUAUUGUGGCAUUGACACGAUUUUUUUAUUGUUGCUAAUGUUGACCAUUCAUGAAUGUUCAAUUGUUUAGAGUUGAAUUUGAGGAUAUAGCAGCGAUACAAGAAAAAAGUUGUGAUGCAUCUGUUUUAUUUCUUAGUUUUCUUACAAAUAUCAACAGAUCUUCAAUGUUUUCUUUAGAGAAUA